RNAcentral lists this ribosomal RNA (573 nucleotides) under uncultured bacterium. RNAcentral describes it as "partial 16S ribosomal RNA". It matches the Rfam family "Bacterial small subunit ribosomal RNA", at positions 355 to 919 of the family's 1533-position model. The record is from RNAcentral.
UGGGGAAUUUUGGACAAUGGGCGAAAGCCUGAUCCAGCAAUGCCGCGUGUGUGAAGAAGGCCUUCGGGUUGUAAAGCACUUUUGUCCGGAAAGAAAUCCUUGGCUCUAAUACAGUCGGGGGAUGACGGUACCGGAAGAAUAAGCACCGGCUAACUACGUGCCAGCAGCCGCGGUAAUACGUAGGGUGCAAGCGUUAAUCGGAAUUACUGGGCGUAAAGCGUGCGCAGGCGGUUUGCUAAGACCGAUGUGAAAUCCCCGGGCUCAACCUGGGAACUGCAUUGGUGACUGGCAGGCUAGAGUAUGGCAGAGGGGGGUAGAAUUCCACGUGUAGCAGUGAAAUGCGUAGAGAUGUGGAGGAAUACCGAUGGCGAAGGCAGCCCCCUGGGCCAAUACUGACGCUCAUGCACGAAAGCGUGGGGAGCAAACAGGAUUAGAUACCCCUGGUAGUCCACGCCCUAAACGAUGUCAACUAGUUGUUGGGGAUUCAUUUCCUUAGUAACGUAGCUAACGCGUGAAGUUGACCGCCUGGGGGAGUACGGUCGCAAGAUUAAAACUCAAAUGAAUUGACGGGGU